This 253-nucleotide ribosomal RNA is filed under the name uncultured bacterium. RNAcentral describes it as "partial 16S ribosomal RNA". It matches the Rfam family "Bacterial small subunit ribosomal RNA", at positions 524 to 776 of the family's 1533-position model. The record is from RNAcentral.
UACAGAGACUGCAAGCGUUAUUCGGAUUCACUGGGCGUAAAGGGUGCGCAGGCGGCCAAGUGUGUCAGGGGUGAAAUCCCGGGGCUUAACUCCGGAACUGCGCCUGAAACUACUUGGCUAGAGCAUUGGAGAGGGAAGUGGAAUUCACGGUGUAGCAGUGAAAUGCGUAGAUAUCGUGAGGAACACCAGAGGCGAAGGCGACUUCCUGGACAAUUGCUGACGCUCAGGCACGAAAGCGUGGGGAGCCAAAGGG